GAUGAACGCUAGCGAUAGGCUUAACACAUGCAAGUCGAGGGGUAACGUGUUGGAAGCUUGCUUCCGAUGACGACGACCGGCGGAUGGGUGCGUAACGCGUAUGCAACUUGCCUCACAGUGGAGAAUAACCCGGAGAAAUCCGGACUAAUACUCCAUACACUCUUAAGUACGCCUGUACAUGAGAGGAAAGAUUUAUCGCUGUGAGAUAGGCAUGCGUCCUAUUAGGUAGUUGGUGAGGUAACGGCUCACCAAGCCGACGAUAGGUAGGGGUGCUGAGAGGCAGAUCCCCCACAUUGGGACUGAGACACGGCCCAAACUCCUACGGGAGGCAGCAGUGAGGAAUAUUGGUCAAUGGAGGAAACUCUGAACCAGCCAAGUCGCGUGAAGGAAGAAUGGCCUAAGGAUUGUAAACUUCUUUAGCGAGCGAGUAAGGACUUCCACGUGAUGGGAGUUUGAAAGUAGCUCGAGAAUAAGUAUCGGCUAACUCCGUG
Molecule: ribosomal RNA, 491 nt
Filed under: uncultured bacterium
Lineage: Bacteria
Description: partial 16S ribosomal RNA
Rfam family: Bacterial small subunit ribosomal RNA
Source: RNAcentral